Balaenoptera musculus (blue whale) is the source of this 803-nucleotide long non-coding RNA. RefSeq lists it as uncharacterized. The record is from RefSeq and is a predicted model, not a curated record. The transcript has 2 exons. Lineage: Eukaryota; Metazoa; Chordata; Mammalia; Artiodactyla; Balaenopteridae.
GUUAAAUGAGGUCAAGGAAGUAACUUCAGAGGAGGAUCUGAUGGAUAUGGAAGUGGUCGUGGAUUUGGGGAUGGCUAUAAUGGGUAUGGAGGAGGACCUGGAGGAAAUUAUGGAAGUGGAAAUUUUAAUAAUUUUGGAAAUUAUAAUCAGCAACCUACUAACUAUGGUCCAAUGAAGAGUGGAAACUUUGGUGGUAGCAGGAACAAGGGGGGACCAUAUGGUGGAGGAAACUAUGGUCCAGGAGGCAGUGGAGGAAGUGGGGGUUAUGGAGGGAGAAGCCGAUAUUGAGCUUCUUUCUAUUGACCAUGGGCUUCACUGUAUAAGUAGGAGAGGAUGAGAGCCCAGAGGUAACAGAACAACUUCAGGUUAUCGAAAUAACAAUGUUAAGGAAACUCUCAUCUCAGUCAUGCAUAAAUAUGCAGACUACACCAGAGUAGAUGCAGAGAGCCAUUUUGUGAAUGGAUUGGAUUAUUUAAUAACAUUACCUACCAGGGAGGAAAGAUUGUAAAAACAAAAAAUAAUGCCUUUGAGACAGUUUCUUAGCUUUUUAAUUGUUGUUUCUUUCUAGUGGUCUUUGUAAGAGUACAGAAGCAGUCCUUCUUUGAUAAUGUUAAAUUUGUAAGUUUCAGGUGACAUGUGAAACCUUUUUUAAGAUUUUUCUCAAAGUUUUGAAAAGCUAUUAGCCAGGAUCAUGGUGUAAUAAGACAUAACAUUUUUCCUUUAAAAAAAAUUUAAGUGCGUGGGUAGAGUUAAAAAGCUGUUAUACAUUUAUGAUUUAAUAAAAUAAUUCUAAAGGAAAAAAA